UUUAAUGAUAAAAUAAAAUAUGCACAAAACCAAAAAAAUGCCUUUGUAGUUAUUCCUAUCCCUACCGCCACCAGUCUCGCAUGUGCAGCUUUCUUAAAACCCAAUUUUAAGACUUUUCACUGGUUACGCGCUCGCAUCAACGUGGAUAAGAAACAAACGUUCAUCCAAUACGAUUUAACCAUCAGAUGGCAAGUGCGUGAACAACAAUCAUUGAACUAGAGAGUGAAACUGAGAUGGAAGAUGACUAUAUAUGGUCCAGCAAAACAGAGUCUUUUACGGCCUGUGUGGUCGCCGUUGAACCAAAGAGAUACGGACACUGGCAAACCCAUCAUACUUCAUGGACCUCUCGACCCACCCAAAUAAAUAUACUCCUCCACCUAAAGAUUUCUUUUCGUUUCUUUCGCUUUGAUUGCUACAAUUUUUCCUUUCCUUUCCUACCAAAAUAAUGGCAGGAACACUGGGGAGGAAUCUUCAUCUCUGCUUUACCAAGAUCAAGCGUCAGCUAGAGCCCCAAUCUCCUUCUACUCUUUUAGCUCCACACGAUCACAGCCAUCCACUUGUCACAAAUAAUUUUAACUCUCUCUUUGACUACACCUUUGACUCCGCCUCUAAAUCCCCGACUCCGUCGUCCUCUUCCUCUUCCGUUGCUUCCUCCUCCUCCUCCUCUGAACCUGACUUCGCCACCAUAUUCGCCUCCCAACGUUUCUUCUUCUCCUCCCCAGGCCGCUCCAAUUCCAUCAUUGAAUCAACACCCUCCAGUGCUACUCCAACAGAAUCAUCUGGCUCGCUGGUAGGAAUAAAGUGUGAUAAUGCUGCGCCGCUUUCGGACACCGGUACGAUGAAUAAUGAUCAAUCCGACAGGUCGUCUUUAGAAUCGUGGAACUCUGGAGCCGUUAAACACAGCGUAGCGGUCCACACGUACUCGCCGGACCCUUAUUUGGACUUCAGGCGAUCCAUGCAGGAGAUGGUGGAGGCACGCGAGUUGGUGGACGUGAAGGCCAAUUGGGACUACUUGCAUGAGCUUCUGCUGUGUUAUCUUGCGCUGAAUCCUAAGAGUACCCACAAGUUUAUUGUUCGAGCUUUUGCUGACCUCCUUGUUAGUCUCUUGGCAUUGCAACCGGCAGUGGCGCCGGCGGAGGGAGAGUGAUCUGGAAGCCGGCGUUGUGAGCUUUUUGCGGCAAUGCAUGUAAGAUGUAACGUGGGUUGUCGGAUAAUGAUUGGGUAAUCUUGUUACUUUUGAUUUGGCAAUACUUUUAUGUGGGGAACUAAAGUUGGCCCUUCCCUUUUUGUCUUCUAUCUAACACCUUAUCCCUCAGUACACACUCGUUGCAUUUCAUCCUUGUAUCUAAAGUUGGCCCUUCCCUUUUUGUCUUCUAUCUAACACCUUAUCCCUCAGUACACACUCGUUGCAUUUCAUCCUUGUAU
This 1425-nucleotide unclassified non-coding RNA is filed under the name Hevea brasiliensis (rubber tree). The record is from RNAcentral. Lineage: Eukaryota; Viridiplantae; Streptophyta; Magnoliopsida; Malpighiales; Euphorbiaceae.